GACGAACGCUGGCGGCGUGCCUAAUACAUGCAAGUCGAACGCAGUGGGGACGGGUGAGUAACACGUGGGUAACCUCCCAUCAGAGGGGAUAACACUUGGAAACAGGUGCUAAACCGAUACUGAUGGAUGGACCUGCGGUGCAUUAGCUAGUUGGGGGGGUAACGGCGCACCAAGGCCACGAUGCUUAGCCGGCCUGAGAGGGUGAUCGGCCACACUGGAACGGAGACACGGCCCAGACUCCUACGUGAGGCAGCAGUGGGGAAUUUUCGGCAAUGGACGAAAGUCUGACCGAGCAACGCCGCGUGGAUGAAGAAGGUUUUCGGGUCGUAAAGCUCUUUUGUUAGAGAGGCGGUAUCUAACCAGGAAGCCACGGCUAACUACGUGCCAGCAGCCGCGGUAAUUC
This 403-nucleotide ribosomal RNA is filed under the name uncultured bacterium. Its description in RNAcentral is "partial 16S ribosomal RNA". It matches the Rfam family "Bacterial small subunit ribosomal RNA", at positions 28 to 526 of the family's 1533-position model. The record is from RNAcentral.